AUGCAUGUCGACUGUACCACACAGCUUGAUGUCAUCUGCAGACCGCAGGGGAUGCAUUUGAUCCCACAGUCAAUAUCAUUGAUAAAGAUGUUAAAAAGCACUGGUCCUGGAACUGACCCAGUUCCUCAUCCAUUGAACAGACCAUCCAUCAAACUCAGAUUUUUCCAGUUUGCCGAAAAUGAUGAUGUUUUGGGGGAUAAUGUCAAAGGCCUGAACAGCCAUGACAGCAGUGAGCUCCUGCUGUGGCCUUGUCCUGUGGAGGAGGAAAGGAGAGGGCUUCAGAGCAGCAGGGAAAAGAGAGGAGGGCUCAGCUCCUUCCAGCAGCACACUGGCUCUUCUCCCAAUCCAGAGCCUGUCCUGAGAAGUGCACGGUAUAUCCAGGUCACUGGAAAACAGUCAAGGAUUUGCAUCUCAUCCUGUUCGUGUCAGACCCAGAUGGACUGCACCUGGCCAGGAAAUGAAGAGCCUUGA
RNAcentral lists this long non-coding RNA (471 nucleotides) under Coturnix japonica (Japanese quail). Its description in RNAcentral is "lncRNA (ENSCJPG00005011475.1)". The record is from RNAcentral. Lineage: Eukaryota; Metazoa; Chordata; Aves; Galliformes; Phasianidae.